This 92-nucleotide non-coding RNA is filed under the name Streptomyces acidiscabies. Its description in RNAcentral is "sodF sRNA". It matches the Rfam family "sodF sRNA". From Rfam's summary of the family: Identified in Streptomyces coelicolor. It is produced from sodF mRNA by cleavage of about 90 nucleotides from its 3'UTR. The record is from Rfam by way of RNAcentral. Lineage: Bacteria; Bacillati; Actinomycetota; Actinomycetes; Kitasatosporales; Streptomycetaceae.
GCGUCCUGCCUCGUGAUCGUCUUCUCAACUGUCACCGGGGGCAGGCGGAUUGAGGGGAACCCCCGUGAGGACAUGACUCACGGGGGUUUCCU